RNAcentral lists this ribosomal RNA (497 nucleotides) under uncultured bacterium. Its description in RNAcentral is "partial 16S ribosomal RNA". It matches the Rfam family "Bacterial small subunit ribosomal RNA", at positions 28 to 507 of the family's 1533-position model. The record is from RNAcentral.
GAUGAACGCUGGCGGCGUGCCUAAUACAUGCAAGUCGAGCGAACAGACGCGGAGCUUGCUCCUCUGACGUUAGCGGCGGACGGGUGAGUAACACGUGGAUAACCUACCUAUAAGACUGGGAUAACUUCGGGAAACCGGAGCUAAUACCGGAUAAUAUAUUGAACCGCAUGGUGCAAUAGUGAAAGACGGUGUUGCUGUCACUUAUCGAUGGAUCCGCGCCGCAUUAGCUAGUUGGUAAGGUCACGGCUUACCAAGGCGACGAUGCGUAGCCGACCGGAGAGACGGGUAGCCCACCCUAGAGCUGGGACGGCGUCCUGACGCCUACGGGAGGCAGCAGUAGGGAAUCGUCCGCAGUAGGCGAAAGCCUGACGGAGCAAGGCCACGUCAGAGGUAGCGGUCUUCGGUUCGUAAAACUCUGUUACUAGGUAAGAACAACUUUGUAAUGAACUAUGCCCGUCUUGACGGUACCUAAUCAGAAAGCAACGGCUAACUACGUG